Molecule: ribosomal RNA, 465 nt
Filed under: Vreelandella stevensii
Lineage: Bacteria; Pseudomonadati; Pseudomonadota; Gammaproteobacteria; Oceanospirillales; Halomonadaceae
Description: partial 16S ribosomal RNA
Rfam family: Bacterial small subunit ribosomal RNA
Source: RNAcentral
CCUACGGGUGGCUGCAGUGGGGAAUAUUGGACAAUGGGCGAAAGCCUGAUCCAGCCAUGCCGCGUGUGUGAAGAAGGCCUUCGGGUUGUAAAACACUUUCAGUGGGGAAGAAAGCCUUGGGGCUAAUACCCUCGAGGAAGGACAUCACCCACAGAAGAAGCACCGGCUAACUCCGUGCCAGCAGCCGCGGUAAUACGGAGGGUGCGAGCGUUAAUCGGAAUUACUGGGCGUAAAGCGCGCGUAGGCGGUCUGAUAAGCCGGUUGUGAAAGCCCCGGGCUCAACCUGGGAACGGCAUCCGGAACUGUCAGGCUAGAGUGCAGGAGAGGAAGGUAGAAUUCCCGGUGUAGCGGUGAAAUGCGUAGAGAUCGGGAGGAAUACCAGUGGCGAAGGCGGCCUUCUGGACUGACACUGACGCUGAGGUGCGAAAGCGUGGGUAGCAAACAGGAUUAGAUACCCUGGUAGUC